UCGUAAGCUAGGGCUUUGUGGGGGGAGGUGGAAGAGCCCUACACUGGCGCUGCGAGCUCGGCUAUGGCGCCCGAUCGAUCGAGCGGCCAGUCGCGGUCAUUUCAGGUAGUGGCUGCCAUGACGACGACUGGAGCGCGCCAGUGCGCAAAGCUGCUCCAUCGGUAGUGCUCCUCGCUUUUUUCCCCGCUUUCCUCUCUCGCCACUGUUCUUGGGGAGACCGGCCGAUCUGUCGCACACUGUGGCAUCAUAUCUGCGCUGGCGGGCCGACCACUGGAUCCAAUCGAGGUACUUCGCUUUGGAUCUAAGAAAUUUCCGCCAUGGAUUAGGGUUUCUGUGUAGUCGCAGGUCCCCUGUUCGUCGCGAAAGCUCCGUGUUUUUGACCCAGCUCUCCUCUCGCGACUGCAAGCCCUAGGCUGGGCCGGGCUGGGCUAGGCUGGAAAAGCGCGUUUGGGCAGUUUUUGGAUGAGAGUUUUGGGGGGUUUCUGGGCAGAUCCGAUUGUUUAGGGAGGCAGGAGGAUGUCGCAGCUUUCGGCAGAGGAGGCUCAUGUCUACUCGCAGAGCCCAGCGCAUUACGCAGUCGCCAGAUGCGACUAUGGCCUCCUCCGAUCGGUGCUCUCCCGGCUGCCGCGAUUGCCAACCGCGGGAGAGGUGAGCUCCGAGGUGGACUCGCUUCUAGCGGAGCAAAAGGCCGAUAUAGUUUCGUCGGUGAUCGACAACAGGGAAGUUCCUGGGAGGGAGACUCCAUUGCAUUUGGCGGUGAGGCUCGGGAAUGCGAGGGCGGUGGAGAUGCUAGCGGCAGCCGGGGCGGACUGUAGUUUGCAGAAUGGUCGGGGAUGGAGUGCGCUCCAGGAGGCCGUGUGUGCUCGCAAGGAAGCUAUUGCGAUGGUCAUCACCAAGUACUAUCAGCCCAUGGCGUGGUCGAAGUGGUGUCGGCGGCUGCCACGGAUUGUAGCGGAGCUCAACAGGAUGAAGGAUUUCUACAUGGAGCUCACGUUUCAUUUCGAGAGCUCGGUCAUCCCGUUUAUCGGGAGGAUUGCUCCGUCGGACACUUACAAGAUAUGGAAGCGUGGUUCCAAUCUGAGAGCGGACAUGACACUGGCUGGCUUCGACUCGUUCAAGAUCCAGAGGUCGGAUCGGAGCUACUUGUUCUUGGGAAAAGAGAAUAUGGGAUCUGGAGAGCUCUUGGUGCUGAUGCACAAGAAGAAGGAGGUGGUGAAUGCGUUUGAAGAUGCCGCGGUACAGCCGUCGGACGCAGAGGUGGCCCACGAGGUGGCUGUGAUGUCUCGGGCGAAUGUCUAUCGGCCAGGUUUGGAUGUAACUCAAGCGCAGCUGGUUCCGCAGUUGACGUGGAGGAAACACGAGAAGGCGGAGACAGUGGGGAACUGGAAGUGCAAGGUGUAUGACAUGCAAAACGUGUCCGUUAGUAUCAGAUCUAGAAAGGUGCUGGGGGCAGUGGAGGAAGACGAAGAAGAGGAAACUUUAGAUUAUGCCAACUUGCUAACGGAGGAGGAGAAACAUCAGCUGGAGAUGGUUUUGAGUGGCGAUUGCGAGAACUUAGAAGAACAGAAAGAGAACUCGGCUUGUGUCAAUGGUCGAGGUGGGAGGCCGAAAGCCGAAAAGUCCAGGCCUAUAAGCGGUAAGGAAGAGGACGAUUCCAAAAAGUCUAGCGCAAAGGAAGAGGAGAGCGAGUUCAAGAAGGGACUUAGACCCACUCUUUGGGUGACAGAUAAUUUUCCUCUCAAGAUCGAGGAGCUUCUUCCACUGCUUGACAUUUUGUCAAGCAAAGUCAAGGCCGUCCGGAGGCUUAGAGAGUUGCUGACUACGAAACUGCCAGCGGGAACUUUUCCUGUCAAGAUGUCCAUUCCGGUGGUGCCGACGAUUAGAGUCAUCGUCACGUUUUCCAAGUUCCAAGAGCGGCACGCGAUGCAGAACAACCUGAAACCCGAGCAUACUGGAUCCUGGUUUUCUUGGAUGAAAAGUUCGAAUCCUAGUUCCGAGCAUGCGGACCCGUUCCUGGUUCCAGGCGAUUAUACGUGGAAGAAAGGGAAGCAAGUGAUCGUCCCAUAGAAGAAUGGUCGUUUUCAGGCACACUACUAAUACAUAUAUAAGAAAUUGUAAAUCAGACAAAAUGAAAAACUGGCACCAUCGACAUAAGACUCUUGCCUGGAAGAGCCUAAGUUACCGCAAUGCUUUCUUGGAUUGCAGAGUUGACGUUACGCUCAUCUCAGUUUAAUGGCUUCAGUUCGAAAACUAGACCACUAACAGGAUGAUGAUGGCGAAGAAAGUGUUGCCGUUCCCUGGAAGUUUUGCUGUACUCGAGUAACAUCUCCGCAGUACUUCCUCGCCAAACUUUUCUGGUUGCGGUUGGAAACACCGAGAAGCAAAUGACGGAGCUUCACCCUUUUUCCUCUUCGCCUCAUCUCUUCCGGAAAUUCUCUGCUCGAGCUGACAGGCCAAUAAAAAAAGCAUGGAACAGAAAAAGAAAGCAAAUCCAAGCAACAAGCAGCUCGCUCUCAGAUGCCCAGCAACAGACAGAAUUUGUCCAUUUAAAC
RNA transcript from Selaginella moellendorffii, 2552 nucleotides. It is a transcript of the gene named ankyrin repeat domain-containing protein 13C, with no coding region annotated. The record is from RefSeq and is a predicted model, not a curated record. Lineage: Eukaryota; Viridiplantae; Streptophyta; Lycopodiopsida; Selaginellales; Selaginellaceae. The transcript has 7 exons.